RNAcentral lists this ribosomal RNA (407 nucleotides) under uncultured bacterium. RNAcentral describes it as "partial 16S ribosomal RNA". It matches the Rfam family "Bacterial small subunit ribosomal RNA", at positions 28 to 526 of the family's 1533-position model. The record is from RNAcentral.
GACGAACGCUGGCGGCGCGCUUAACACAUGCAAGUCGAGCGAAGCGGCGGACGGGUGAGUAACACGUGAGUAACCUGCCUUAGACAUUGGGAUAGCCUCGGGAAACCGGGAUUAAUACCAAAUGGUCUAAGAUGGACUCGCGUCCCAUUAGCUAGUGGGUGAGGUAACGGCCCACCAAGGCGACGAUAGGUAGACGGCCUGAGAGGGUGAACGGACACAUUGGAGGUGGGAAACGGUCCAAACUCUACGGGAGGCAGCAGUGGUGAAUAUUGCACAAUGGAGGGAACUCUGAUGCAGCGACGCCGCGUGAACGAAGAAGGCUGUCGAGUCGUAGAGUUCUUUUAUAUAGGAAGCGGUACCAUAAGAAAAAGCCCCGGCUAACUACGUGCCAGCAGCCGCGGUAAUAC